CGCGUAGGUGGUUUGUUAAGUUGAAUGUGAAAUCCCCGGGCUCAACCUGGGAACUGCAUCCAAAACUGGCAAGCUAGAGUAUGGUAGAGGGUAGUGGAAUUUCCUGUGUAGCGGUGAAAUGCGUAGAUAUAGGAAGGAACACCAGUGGCGAAGGCGACUACCUGGACUGAUACUGACACUGAGGUGCGAAAGCGUGGGGAGCAAACAGGAUUAGAUACCCUUGUA
RNAcentral lists this ribosomal RNA (225 nucleotides) under uncultured Pseudomonas sp. Its description in RNAcentral is "partial 16S ribosomal RNA". It matches the Rfam family "Bacterial small subunit ribosomal RNA", at positions 568 to 792 of the family's 1533-position model. The record is from RNAcentral. Lineage: Bacteria; Pseudomonadati; Pseudomonadota; Gammaproteobacteria; Pseudomonadales; Pseudomonadaceae.